UCAGGCCUAACACAUGCAAGUCGAGCGGGGUUUUCGGACCUAGCGGCGGACGGGUGAGUAAUGCGUAGGAAGCUACCCGAUAGAGGGGGAUACCAGUUGGAAACGACUGUUAAUACCGCAUAAUGUCUACGGACCAAAGUGUGGGACCUUCGGGCCACAUGCUAUCGGAUGCGCCUACGUGGGAUUAGCUAGUUGGUGAGGUAAUGGCUCACCAAGGCGACGAUCCCUAGCUGGUUUGAGAGGAUGAUCAGCCACACUGGAACGGAGACACGGUCCAGACUCCUACGGGAGGCAGCAGUGGGGAAUAUUGGACAAUGGGCGC
This 322-nucleotide ribosomal RNA is filed under the name uncultured bacterium. RNAcentral describes it as "bacterial SSU rRNA". It matches the Rfam family "Bacterial small subunit ribosomal RNA", at positions 43 to 378 of the family's 1533-position model. The record is from RNAcentral.